This 477-nucleotide ribosomal RNA is filed under the name uncultured Planctomycetales bacterium. RNAcentral's name for it is "bacterial SSU rRNA". It matches the Rfam family "Bacterial small subunit ribosomal RNA", at positions 364 to 832 of the family's 1533-position model. Lineage: Bacteria; Pseudomonadati; Planctomycetota; Planctomycetia; Planctomycetales. The record is from RNAcentral.
UUUCGCAAUGCCCGAAAGGGUGACGAAGCGACGCCGCGUGUGGGAAGAAGGCCUUCGGGUUGUAAACCACUGUCGGGAGUUAAGAAAGGUGUACGGGUAAAUAGUCCGUGCAUUUGACAAAAGCUCCGGAGGAAGCCACGGCUAACUCUGUGCCAGCAGCCGCGGUAAUACAGAGGUGGCAAGCGUUGUUCGGAAUUAUUGGGCGUAAAGAGCACGUAGGCGGCCCUGCAAGUCAGCUGUGAAAGCCUCCUGCUUAACGGGAGAAGUGCAGUUGAAACUACGGGGCUAGAGUGCGGAAGGGGAGAGUGGAACUUCUGGUGGAGCGGUGAAAUGCGUAGAUAUCAGAAGGAACACCGGCGGCGAAAGCGGCUCUCUGGUCCGUAACUGACGCUGAGGUGCGAAAGCCAGGGGAGCAAACGGGAUUAGAUACCCCGGUAGUUCUGGCCGUAAACGAUGGGCACUAAGUAGAGGGGUUUU